UGCUGUUUUCACUGAAUAGCAAGAAAUGAUUAUGGCACUUGAUAAAGACGAUCAGCCUUCACAAGGAAAGCAACAAAGAGGAAACAGUGUGCCAAAGUGUAAGACAGUUUAGAGUUGAAUAGUGAUGAAAAAUAGGUUGCAGUACCAACUUGCUUUUCAUCAGCUUUUCGGAGAAGAAACUAAGUUGUUUCCAAGGAUUCUUCACUCAGAGUGUCAGCCCCCUGCUACUUUUGGAGGAAUGAAAAUUAUUUCAGGACAUUGCAUACCUGGACACAAUAUCUGUUACAAAAACAACCACGGUCUAAGGUAAUGUGAUAGACUACUACGGGCAUUAAGCCAUAUGGCAUUGGACAAGUGUUAUGCAGGAAGCCUGCUCCAAAGAUGUUUUUGGUAAGUGUGAAUAACCUUUAUACUUAAGCUGUGUUAGGAGUUUAACACUGGAAGACCAUUGAAAGCAAUGGAAGGAUUUGCAUGCUUUGAAACCUUUACCACGUGAAGUGAAAUUAAAAAUGUUGCACUAAAUAUCCCCAUCUCUGUACCCAACUGACCACGUUGGACUCAGUGUAUGUGGGAAUUAGAAUCUGAGAAGAGAAGCAAUUUAAUCUGACUCUCUGAAUAGCAGAAGCUUUUAUUAUUUUUCAUACUUUGAGCUGUGUGUAAGAAAAUGUGUACUCCCAUGUUUUUUGAAAGCAGUCCACCUUUACCUAAUUCUUUCUGAGUAUGGUCUGUGGUAAGUUGGAAGAUGGAGAAAAAGUAGUAAAUAUUUCUGUAAGCAUAGAAAUGGUGAAUUUUGAUUUCCUCUGGCCUUCUGACGUCAAUCCAUACUAUUCUGGCAUUCUUCCUUGUAGUUUGUGACCCCUUUUCAUAUCUCCAUCAAACAUAUCCUUGGUUCUCUUUCAUGUUCCCUAUGCCACUCCUAUUUUUUUCUGUGGUCCCUGCUUGCAUUUCCCCUGGUUUCUGUCAGAGACGUUAUGGCUGAUUUAGAAUUACAGAUACCCUGAUUGGUGUCAGUUGCUCUCUCUUGACUAUUAGUCUAACAGUAUUUUAGUAUCUCUGCUACUUCAGACCCUCAAGUACCUAGAGAUCUUCAUUGUAAUAAUUUAUACGAAUAUUUUAGUGAACCUCCUAAAUGGUAUUCAGAGUGGUUUAGUAGUAUGCAGUGGUAAAGACUGUUGCUAUAAUGAUGUAAAUUAUUUGGUUUAGUGGCUGUAUCAUCUUUAUUGAUGAUAACUCAAAAGUAUGGAGAAACUUCUAGCCACGAAUAAGUAGACUUUUCCAAUUCUGCAAACUAGAAGGGGGUUCAUUGAAGAGCACACAGAAUUGUUUUGGAUGAUUGAGCUCAGAGCACUCUUUUGGCAGUUAAGACUAAUGCAAUGGGGAAAAAAAAAAAGGUGGGGGCGAAGGGGGAGAAAUUUGGUAGUAUUAAUAGCAAAAGAAUGCAAAAAUAAAAAUGAGGAACUCAAAUACA
This 1468-nucleotide long non-coding RNA is filed under the name Coturnix japonica (Japanese quail). RNAcentral's name for it is "lncRNA (ENSCJPG00005004759.1)". Lineage: Eukaryota; Metazoa; Chordata; Aves; Galliformes; Phasianidae. The record is from RNAcentral.